CUUUGUCUGAAUGUGUAUAAAGGAUCUGUGAAAUUUGUGUAAGACCGAGUUUUUGUACCAAGGUGCAAAGCUCUCCUUUCUUCUGCAGAAUAAAGCAACUCUUCCUUAUCCCUGUCUAGCUGUUAUUGGCUCUCAGCUAGGUGGACCUGAUAUUUUGGUGACAGUUUCUGGUGAUUCCACCAGGACUCUCCUAGCUCAGACAUUGGACUCCGGACGGCUGUGGCGAACUGGGAACGGCGCCAAUGUGGUGUUUCGCCCCUUUUCUCUGCUUCACCGCGGCCCCUGGGGUUCGUGUUCCGAUAAGGUUUCUUUUCUCACAGAUAGAAGAAGUGCUACCCAAAGACCCUAGUAGCCCUGCCGUUCAUUGAAACAAGGAGACUGAGUCUAUGUAAAGAUCCACCAACAAAAGACUGCUUUGGCUCCAUGCUGGAAAGGCCCUUUCCAAGUCCUGUUAACCACCAACACCGCUGUGAAGUGCCAAGGACUGCCUACCUGGACCCAUGCUUCUCACUGUAAAAAGACCCCUCCACCUCGGGAGGACUCUCCGACUGAUAAGCCUAUUUCUCCUUCUAGCUCUGCUGUGCCUUCUGGACAGCAGGAAAAAGGAAAAAAAGACAAGGUGAAGUGCUAGUAACCUCUCCCUUGUCCACUGACAGACCUACUGUGCCUUUGAAUUUUUUUAGAAGACACAAAACCAUUACGGGGUGAUGUGCUAGUAACCUCUCCCCUGUAUGAUGCUGAACCAUGACUGUUUCAGGAAAAGAGAAGAAGGAACACUUGCUCCAUUGAAACCACCAAAGUCCAGAUAAAAUGUACUUCCCUAUUCACCAAACAACACCCAUGUGCCCUGUAAUAUGUCAUAAUACUUGUUCCUGCAAGUGGCCUACUUUUGAGAAUAUUCAACAUCAGACUCUUUCAACAGGUCAGCUCCCAGACUGCUGCACUGUACAGCACAGUAUGGGGAGAAGGUGACCAACCCUCUGUGGAGAAAGAAGUGGUUCGGGACUAUUUAGAAAAACUGGACGAGCAGAAGUCCAUGGGGCCGGAAGCGCUGCAUCUGAGGGUGCUAAAGGAAUUGGCGGAUGUGAUUGCAGAGCCAUUGGCCAUUAUCUUUGAAAACUCAUGGCGAUCGGGGGAGGUCCCGGAUGACUGGAAAAAGGCUAAUGUAGUGCCCAUCUUUAAAAAAGGGAAGAAGGAGGAUCCGGGAAACUACAGAACCAGGGGAGAGGGUGAAGGGAAAGCACUCUAACAUCUUGGUGUCCUGACUCAGCUACAUCACACUGGACAGGUAAGUAGCAGCCAGGUAAGUUCCCCUCCCCAACAUUCCAUGUAUCUGCUUGGAGGGGGUAUGGUAGGCUUUCAUGAUGGCAAGCUGGGGUAACGGUAUUUUUGGAUAAGUGGAUAUAGAAGAAUCAAGGCCCAUUCCAGGUAUGGGGUUCAACCUGGGAUGACAUUAAAAAGGAAAUGUGGACAGUGUUAUGGAAUCCAGAGGGAUGGGGACUGGCUGAGUAGCCCACUCUCCUUGGUAAAUGGGUAGCAGAAGGAUGUCUGUGCCCAUGGGGACAGGAUGCCUUCCAGGUAAAGGAGGCACUUAAGUUCACUUGUAAGAGGUUAGAAGUAAAGACAACAUUAUGGAAGGCUGCCAAUAAUUUUUCAAGUUCGGUGCAACUCCAGCAAAGGCAACUGGAGGAUUGUAAAUUAGAAUUAGGGGUGGCUAAAGAUAAUUUGUCAAAACAGGGUUUGGAGUCAGAAGCAGAGUUAACAGACCACAUUAAGAGAUGGGAGCUGCAACUUGAUCCUAGGGGAAUGAAGAAAAAAAAGUUUCAAAGUGGAAAAGUGGAGAGUGACAGGGUUAACACAUGGAGUUGCUUGGAAGCAGUUAACUGCAACAGAGAAGGGCACUCCUGUAAUUCACUUGGGGUGCAAACAAAUGCAACAGACACUGGGGGAACAAAUUCAUGGUUUGCAAGAAGGGAUAACAACCUCAACUCUUCUCUCAGAGCCAGGAUAAAAACCUGGGGGUAAGGGUUCCCAACUGUUUAAAUGUAGAGAGUCCUACCCUUUGCUCAGAGGUAACUAUAUCCUUUUUUCCUUCUUCUUCUUCUUAAUUUGCUUAAUUUGCUGCUGUUAGCCUGUACUUUAAACUAACUUCACAGGGUUAACUGGUUGCUUUCCACCCCUCCCCCCCCCCCGCCUCUCUCACACUUUUUGUUUUUCUGAAGUUUUAAUGGAAGGUACUUUAGAUACUUAUGUGAAAUGUGUGUGUGGGGGGGGGGUGCGGAUAUUGGACAAAGCAUGACAGAGGUCUGCUGUAUUCCAUUGAAAUUUUUGGAGUAAAAGACCCAUGGGUGACCAUGGAAACAAAUGUUUUACUGCCUUUUUAAAUGAUCCCCAGGUAAAGGAAGCACAGGGAAAGGCAGCUGUGUUGCAGGGAUUGUACUUAGUGGCUAAGUUGCCCCAGGCAAAAUGUACCACCUUAAAGAAUUGAAUGCGGAAGUAAGUGAUUUAAAGUGAGUGAGGAGUUACAAGUAGCUGUUGUAAAUAAUUAAUACUACAGAGUUUGGAGGGAGUUUGGAGGGAAAUAAACAGUUGGGAGUUGUGGAAAUGUUAAAAAGUAACGGUUGUGAAGAUGUUAAAGAGUAACAGUUGUGGUAUUAUGAAAGGGGAAUUCGUGGUUUGAUAAUAAUACCCAGUUAUGUAAAUGUAAUUAUAUGUAAGCAGAGUCAGGAUGAGCUCUACCCUGACAUCUGGUGGUGAAUUAUGGCGAGUGUGGAAAAGAACUCCAGGGGCUGAUCUUGUUUGCAUAGGCACACCCACCUGCCUGGCAUGAGACAACAGCAACUGAUAGUGGUUACUUUGGAUGGGGUGGGAUCCCCAGUUUCUCUGUUAUUGGGGCAGGAGGAAUAAAGUGUUGUUACCCUGAUUAUGUGAAUUAAGGACAAUGAAACUGUUUUAUGACAGAGUGUCUCACCAUCAUCUAAGUAGCACUCGCUAGACAUGGGACAUGGGUUCCACAACCCAGUGAAUAUGGACAGACUGACCCACCCUACUAAGAGCUGAAAUCACAAAAGAGCUAAAGUUAUUAAGAGCUGAGAUCAUUGAGUGCUAUGUUAAAUAGUGGGGGAGCCUCAAGCUAUAUUGCUAAGCGGCUGGAGGAGCAGCGAGUGGCGUGGAGCCUUGCGGGGACGGUUGGAGCGACCCAAGGAACGGCAAGUGGAGCCGUUUGUGGGGACGGCUGGAGCGGCUCUCAGGUCGAUCCAAACCAUGCAUCAGUUCCACUGGGACUCCAUCUUCUCCUGACUGAUCGUGCUGGGGGCUCUGCCUGUCUCCAGCACUCAGGACCCUGAGCUACCACCAUCACCUGGGAACCCCGACCAGAUCAAGCCUCAUGGAGUGGAUCCUGCAAUGUGAAGUGGCAAAGGGAGGAAACACAUGGACCACUACACCACCAAAUUAUGGUAAUAUGGAUGCCACGCUGGAAGGAUCCUGAUUUAAGCUGGUUGCAGCCUGGAGCCAGAAAUACUUACCUACAGGUACUUAUCAUUGGGCACUGUCAGAAGACAAGAUACUGGGCUAGAUGCACCUUUGGUCUGACCCAGAAUGGCCGAUCCUAUGUUCUUAUGUUUAUAGCAGUAACAAAUUGUUCCACCCUUGCAUGUUGGCUCAGCCAAGGCUCUGACCAAACCCUGUCCCUGCCUGCUCACCUGUGCAAGAGGGAGAGUAAUCACCUUUAGGAGACCUGUCUGCCUUUACAUUGUUACCCACAAUAUAAGCAAUCCACUCAAAGGAGUAAGAGGACAUCUUAUGCCAAUCUAGAGGGGAAUAUCAGUAAUAGUAGGAGUGACAUAUCCAACUGCCUGGGUUGUUGGGAGGUCAAACAACAAGUAGCACUCAGGGGAUAAAGGUCUUUCAUCCAUACAGGUAGCUGUGGAUUGGUGCUAUUUAAGAAUGGAAAUGGGCUUUACCAAGAGCACCGCAGAAUCAUUGUUCUUGGAGUCUGGAUAUGGGCCUGAUUCAUCACUGUGCAACCCCUAUGUUAUGCUGGUGCAACUCACUGAGCCUGAUUCUCAGUGAAGCCACUGGCAAUGGAAAAUAAAGUACAACUAUG
Molecule: long non-coding RNA, 4108 nt
Organism: Malaclemys terrapin pileata
Lineage: Eukaryota; Metazoa; Chordata; Testudines; Emydidae
Exons: 9
Source: RefSeq, a predicted model, not a curated record